UCAUAAAGUAAAAAUUAUGAGCAGAUAAUAGCUAGAUUGCUCAUUUAUUCUAUGUCUUGAGUCAGUAUUGUUUAUAAAUAAGAGUUCCAGCUUUCAAAACAGGUUUAUGAAUCAAUUAAGUUUUAGAGAUCGAAUCAAGGAAUUUGAUCAUUCUAUCUUUUAAUAUUGGCAGCAGCAGCAGCUUAUUCUGCUCCUUGGAAUCUUUUUUAAAUUUUCAAAUCCUGCAAAAGUUUUAGUGUCAUUAUUUCUUUUCUUUGAGAAGUCAUAUAUUCCAAAAGCUCAUCUAUAUUAAAUUCCAUCACACAUAUUAGGCCUACAAUAACGAUGACGAGCAAAUAUCACCUCAUGCUUCUCUCCAUCUGCAGCAUCAGCCUGCAUCAUCUGCCAACAUCAGAAGCUCAACCAAAUCAUCAGCAGAAUACGUCACAACCCGCUAGCGUUCAAAUCAGUGACGCAGUUUCAAAGGCAACUGAUGCAGAAACCAGAUUCAAUCAUCAGACCAACUACAGUUGCAUCAAUAUUUGUGCUGAAUUUGCUCAGUGCAAUUCCAGCGAACAAGGACUGUUUCAAAUUUUCAGUGCACCAAAAGAGUGUAAAAAAGUUUGCGGUACAAAUUUUAUCGUGUGUUGCUUAGCAUUUUCUACUUUUUUAAAUUUUGGUUCGCCAUUAGGUGCAAUAUAUUAUAGUAAAUUAUAUACACUAGUAGCCGGAUAGUAACUUAUGUACUCCUAACGGCAGUGAUGAUAUCAUCUAAUAGUUUAAUCACAGAAUUAAUAACAGCAGUUUUAACAGCAAAAUUAAUAAUAGGAAUUAAUUAUAGGAGUUUUCUCUGGUUUAAUCUAAUAAAAUAUUAAUAAGAACGACAAAUCGAAGUGUCUAACUAGCCUUAGUCAUACUUGAAUACCAUAUAAAUAAAUAAUUUUAAUCAAUAAAAUUUUUAAUUUAGAUGUAAUUCAUUAGUAAAUUGAAUCAUGACAACUCGUAGUUUAGUAUGAUUUCUUAAUCCAUUUCAAACUGCUGCUUAUUACAUAUAAAGGUGUGUACAGACUUUCGCUCUGCUCCGCAAUCGAACGUCACUCGAGCAGAUCGAUUGAUGAUCGACAAGAGUGGAACGCGUGAAGAGCUAACAUCUCCCGUAACGUUCAUGAUCGGAGCGAUUGCGGAGCGUGCGCAGAGCUUGUUGGAGGCGCGUAUAUCUGUACGCACCUUAGUAUAUAAAGAACAAAACGAACAACUU
Molecule: long non-coding RNA, 1237 nt
Organism: Nilaparvata lugens (brown planthopper)
Lineage: Eukaryota; Metazoa; Arthropoda; Insecta; Hemiptera; Delphacidae
Exons: 2
Source: RefSeq, a predicted model, not a curated record